RNAcentral lists this ribosomal RNA (523 nucleotides) under uncultured Alphaproteobacteria bacterium. Its description in RNAcentral is "SSU rRNA". It matches the Rfam family "Bacterial small subunit ribosomal RNA", at positions 242 to 781 of the family's 1533-position model. The record is from RNAcentral. Lineage: Bacteria; Pseudomonadati; Pseudomonadota; Alphaproteobacteria.
CAGCUAGUUGGUAGGGUAAAGGCCUACCAAGGCUACGAUCCAUAGCUGGUCUGAGAGGAUGAUCAGCCACACUGGGACUGAGACACGGCCCAGACUCCUACGGGAGGCAGCAGUGGGGAAUAUUGGACAAUGGGGGCAACCCUGAUCCAGCCAUGCCGCGUGAGUGAAGAAGGCCUUAGGGUUGUAAAGCUCUUUUAGCGGGGACGAUAAUGACGGUACCCGCAGAAUAAGCCCCGGCUAACUUCGUGCCAGCAGCCGCGGUAAUACGAAGGGGGCUAGCGUUGUUCGGAAUCACUGGGCGUAAAGCGCACGCAGGCGGAUUGAUAAGUCAGGGGUGAAAUCCCGGAGCUCAACUUCGGAAUUGCCUUUGAUACUGUCUAUCUUCGAGUUCGGGAGAGGUUGGCGGAAUUCCUAGUGUAGAGGUGAAAUUCGUAGAUAUUAGGAAGAACACCAGUGGCGAAGGCGGCCAACUGGCCCGAUACUGACGCUCAUGUGCGAAAGCCUGGGGAGCAAACAGGAUUAG